UACGGAGGGUGCAAGCGUUAAUCGGAAUUACUGGGCGUAAAGCGCGCGUAGGCGGCUAGAUAAGUCGGAUGUGAAAUCCCCGGGCUCAACCUGGGAACUGCAUUCGAUACUGUUUGGCUAGAGUAUGGGAGAGGGAGGUAGAAUUCCACGUGUAGCGGUGAAAUGCGUUGAGAUGUGGAGGAAUACCGGUGGCGAAGGCGGCCUCCUGGCUUAAUACUGACGCUGAGGUGCGAAAGCGUGGGGAGCAAACAGG
This 253-nucleotide ribosomal RNA is filed under the name uncultured bacterium. RNAcentral describes it as "partial 16S ribosomal RNA". It matches the Rfam family "Bacterial small subunit ribosomal RNA", at positions 524 to 776 of the family's 1533-position model. The record is from RNAcentral.